Molecule: ribosomal RNA, 482 nt
Filed under: uncultured bacterium
Lineage: Bacteria
Description: bacterial SSU rRNA
Rfam family: Bacterial small subunit ribosomal RNA
Source: RNAcentral
UGGCGGCAGGCCUAACACAUGCAAGUCGAGCGGUAACAUUUCUAGCUUGCUAGAAGAUGACGAGCGGCGACGGGUGAGUAACGCGUAGAAAUCUACCUAGUAGUGGGGGGAUAGCCCAGAGAAAUUUGGAUUAAUACCGCAUACGCCCUACCGGGGGAAAGCGGGGGAUCUUCGGACCUCGUGCUAUUAGAUGAGUCUGCGUCGGAUUAGCUUGUUGGUGAGGUAAUGGCUCACCAAGGCGACGAUCCGUAGCUGGUCUGAGAGGAUGACCAGCCACACUGGAACUGAGACACGGUCCAGACUCCUACGGGAGGCAGCAGGUGGGGAAUAUUGCACAAUGGGCGCAAGCCUGAUGCAGCCAUGCCGCGUGUGUGAAGAAGGCCGUUAGGGUUGUAAAGCACUUUCAGCAGUGAGGAAAGGGGUGUCGUUAAUAGCGCCAUCCUGUGACGUUAACUGCAGAAGAAGGACCGGCUAACUCCGUG